AACUCAUUCACCACGCAACUCCGCGCACGUUUCUCCACGGUCACACAAAGCGCAUGUGUCUGGGGGCACACAGUACUUACUGGAGGGUCACAGUGAACACACAGUGAACACACAGACACAUUGGAUGUCAGCGGAAAAUCGCAAGGUUUACACGCCAACCCGCAUUAAUAGAUUCCCACGACGUGUUAAAGGGCCUGUCCCACUCGGGCGUCAUUUGCGCGUCACGCUUAGAGUUUGGCUCAGCCACCAAGCUGGAGUCAUCUGGAGGCUGCAGCGAAUCGUCCGAUCAACAGAGAAGAUUAUUGGCUGCAACCAUCCCUCCAUUGAUGAACUGUGCACUGCAAGGGCCAGGAAGCGAGCGGGCAAGAUCAUCUCUGACCCCUCUCACCCUGGCCACAAACUCUUUGAAUCACUUCCCUCUGGAAGGCGACUCCGGACUGUCAAAGCUGCCACAGCCAGACAUCAAAACAUUUAUUAUCCACUAGUCCUUGCUCUACUCAACAGCCAAAAAUCUGUAGCCUCCCUUUGAUCUGGUAUUUUGUUGGUUCACAUGCUUGAUCAAUGGUGUUUUAUCAUUAAUGUCUUAUUAUUAUUAAUGUUUAGUGUUUUCUGAGUCAUUCGUAACUGUCACUGUAUGUCAUGUUGUUACUUGUGGGCAGAGCACCAAGGCAAAUUCCUUGUAUGUGAAUACUUGGCCAAUAAACGUACUUACUUCCU
Molecule: long non-coding RNA, 717 nt
Organism: Leucoraja erinaceus (little skate)
Lineage: Eukaryota; Metazoa; Chordata; Chondrichthyes; Rajiformes; Rajidae
Exons: 2
Source: RefSeq, a predicted model, not a curated record